AGAGCUACCAGGAAGCUGUUGGCAGGCUCCUCCUCUCUAAGCUUGGAUAGCAAAGCGUCUCCUUGCCUUCUCCUGUCUGGAGGCUGCUCAAAUGGCACGAUUUGGGGCCCCUUCUCUCCACCCUCAAAGCCAGGCACCGUGCAGAACUCUGAUCCCGUCUUCUGAUCAACUUUAACGGUCUUGUGAUUGGAAAAAAAGCAGGAAAAGGAAGCUGUAUGUCUUGCCUGACAUCCACACAAGUACCAAGAACAAGAUGUAGAAGAACUCUUAGCUCAUCCUGCACCAUGCCUGCCUGGAUGCUGCUAUGCUCCUGCCUUGAUGAUGAUGGACUGAACCGCUGAACCUGUAAGCCCCAAUGAAAUGUUGUCUUUAUAAGAGUUGCCUUGCUCAUGGUGUCUGCUCACAGCAGUGAGACCCUUACUAAGACAAUACCUUAAACCUAAAACUGUUUCUUAGUGAACUUGUUCCUUAAAACAUAAAAGCAAUGUCUCUUAUAAAUCAACGGGU
Long non-coding RNA from Apodemus sylvaticus (European woodmouse), 507 nucleotides. RefSeq lists it as uncharacterized. Lineage: Eukaryota; Metazoa; Chordata; Mammalia; Rodentia; Muridae. The record is from RefSeq and is a predicted model, not a curated record. The transcript has 3 exons.